UCAGUAUUUCAGUGUGGAGUCAGAUGAGGGGAUUAUUUUUCAUGAAGCCAUUAUAAGACUGUUGCUGACAUCUGUUGAAUGCACGUGAUGGGCAGUUGGCUGACCGAGAGGAGUCUGGCAGUAAACCAACUAUAUGAGGCAGAGGAUCUACUCUUUCGGCUGCUGCUGAUGACAACAACAACUGCAUGAACCAGCCAGGCAACAACCCAUACUGUAGCCUACUGUUCCAUAAUGAAGUCCACCAGAGUUGGUAGCAAGAUUGAAGUGGGCCAUCAUUCAAAC
This is a long non-coding RNA of Coregonus clupeaformis (lake whitefish), 282 nucleotides long. RefSeq lists it as uncharacterized. The transcript is spliced from 3 exons. The record is from RefSeq and is a predicted model, not a curated record. NCBI's taxonomy places the organism in Eukaryota, Metazoa, Chordata, Actinopteri, Salmoniformes, Salmonidae.